CCGGGCGUUAAGUUGCAGGGUAUAGACCCGAAACCCGGUGAUCUAGCCAUGGGCAGGUUGAAGGUUGGGUAACACUAACUGGAGGACCGAACCGACUAAUGUUGAAAAAUUAGCGGAUGACCUGUGGCUGGGGGUGAAAGGCCAAUCAAACCGGGAGAUAGCUGGUUCUCCCCGAAAGCUAUUUAGGUAGCGCCUCGUGAAUUCAUCUCCGGGGGUAGAGCACUGUUUCGGCUAGGGGGCCAUCCCGGCUUACCAACCCGAUGCAAACUGCGAAUACCGGAGAAUGUUAUCACGGGAGACACACGGCGGGUGCUAACGUCCGUCGUGAAGAGGGAAACAACCCAGACCGCCAGCUAAGGUCCCAAAGUCAUGGUUAAGUGGGAAACGAUGUGGGAAGGCCCAGACAGCCAGGAUGUUGGCUUAGAAGCAGCCAUCAUUUAAAGAAAGCGUAAUAGCUCACUGGUCGAGUCGGCCUGCGCGGAAGAUGUAACGGGGCUAAACCAUGCACCGAAGCUGCGGCAGCGACACUGUGUGUUGUUGGGUAGGGGAGCGUUCUGUAAGCCUGUGAAGGUGUGUCGUGAGGCAUGCUGGAGGUAUCAGAAGUGCGAAUGCUGACAUAAGUAACGAUAAAGCGGGUGAAAAGCCCGCUCGCCGGAAGACCAAGGGUUCCUGUCCAACGUUAAUCGGGGCAGGGUGAGUCGACCCCUAAGGCGAGGCCGAAAGGCGUAGUCGAUGGGAAACGGGUUAAUAUUCCCGUACUUGGUGUUACUGCGAAGGGGGGACGGAGAAGGCUAUGUUGGCCGGGCGACGGUUGUCCCGGUUUAAGCGUGUAGGUGUGUGUUCCAGGUAAAUCCGGUUCACUUUAACACUGAGGCGUGACGACGAGGCACUACGGUGCUGAAGCAACAAAUGCCCUGCUUCCAGGAAAAGCCUCUAAGCAUCAGGUAACAUCAAAUCGUACCCCAAACCGACACAGGUGGUCAGGUAGAGAAUACCAAGGCGCUUGAGAGAACUCGGGUGAAGGAACUAGGCAAAAUGGUGCCGUAACUUCGGGAGAAGGCACGCUGACACGUAGGUGAAGUGAUUUACUCAUGGAGCUGAAGUCAGUCGAAGAUACCAGCUGGCUGCAACUGUUUAUUAAAAACACAGCACUGUGCAAACACGAAAGUGGACGUAUACGGUGUGACGCCUGCCCGGUGCCGGAAGGUUAAUUGAUGGGGUCAGCGCAAGCGAAGCUCCUGAUCGAAGCCCCGGUAAACGGCGGCCGUAACUAUAACGGUCCUAAGGUAGCGAAAUUCCUUGUCGGGUAAGUUCCGACCUGCACGAAUGGCGUAAUGAUGGCCAGGCUGUCUCCACCCGAGACUCAGUGAAAUUGAACUCGCUGUGAAGAUGCAGUGUACCCGCGGCAAGACGGAAAGACCCCGUGAACCUUUACUAUAGCUUGACACUGAACAUUGAGCCUUGAUGUGUAGGAUAGGUGGGAGGCUUUGAAGUGUGGACGCCAGUCUGCAUGGAGCCGACCUUGAAAUACCACCCUUUAAUGUUUGAUGUUCUAACGUGGACCCGUUACCCGGGUUGCGGACAGUGUCUGGUGGGUAGUUUGACUGGGGCGGUCUCCUCCUAAAGAGUAACGGAGGAGCACGAAGGUUG
Molecule: ribosomal RNA, 1650 nt
Filed under: Salmonella enterica
Lineage: Bacteria; Pseudomonadati; Pseudomonadota; Gammaproteobacteria; Enterobacterales; Enterobacteriaceae
Description: partial 23S ribosomal RNA
Rfam family: Bacterial large subunit ribosomal RNA
Source: RNAcentral